GAUUGGCUAAAAUGAGAUUUCGGGUUUCAAGGGUUUCGAACCAAUCAUAGAAUAGAAUUUAGAAUUUUAAUUAUAUUUGUUAAUUUCCGGAAGUCAAUAUGCCUGUCAUGGCGCAAUGCGAUGUAUGAAAAAAUACUCGUAUAUAUACGUUUACUUUCUGGUUUUUGCUUGUUUUUAAUAGUUAUUAAUUGCUCUGAGUUUUGUAAAGUAGACUCUGCUGUGAUAAUGCGCUUCUUCAAUCAUUCUGGCGACCGACAACAACAGCGAUAUAAUUUGAAACCAUGAUAUUGAAGGACAAGCAAUGGAGGCCACAUGCUUGGCAGUGCUCUGUUGUUGGGGAGCUUUUUGAAAUGUUCUGCCUGACUGCAAGUGUUGUCCACCAUUUUGCUGUGUUUGGCGAUAAGAAGGACUAUAUAGUUUUAAAAGUGAGACAUGAUAAUAUAAUAAGUACCAGAAAUUAGAGUAUUCAAGAAAUUGUUAACCAAGCCACUUACAGGGGCAGGCUCAUUUUCUCUUUCUGGUUCAUUGGUGCUACCACACAAGAACUAUGCAAGACAUGGUUCAUGUCCAUCUCAUUUGGAUGUAAUAUGGUAUAUAUGGACAGGAG
Molecule: long non-coding RNA, 607 nt
Organism: Dendronephthya gigantea
Lineage: Eukaryota; Metazoa; Cnidaria; Anthozoa; Malacalcyonacea; Nephtheidae
Exons: 5
Source: RefSeq, a predicted model, not a curated record